Molecule: ribosomal RNA, 650 nt
Filed under: uncultured bacterium
Lineage: Bacteria
Description: bacterial SSU rRNA
Rfam family: Bacterial small subunit ribosomal RNA
Source: RNAcentral
GUGGGAUCGGGUGAGCGGCGGAGGGUUAGUAACGCGUGGGAAUAUGCCCAAAGGUACGGAAUAGCCUCUGGAAACGGAGAGUAAUACCGUAUGUGCCCUUCGGGGGAAAGAUUUAUCGCCUUUGGAUUAGCCCGCGUCUGAUUAGAUAGUUGGUGGGGUAACGGCCUACCAAGUCGACGAUCAGUAGCUGGUUUGAGAGGAUGAUCAGCAACACUGGGACUGAGACACGGCCCAGACUCCUACGGGAGGCAGCAGUGGGGAAUCUUGGACAAUGGGCGCAAGCCUGAUCUAGCCAUGCCGCGUGAGUGACGAAGGUCUUAGGAUCGUAAAGCUCUUUCGCCAGGGAUGAUAAUGACAGUACCUGGUAAAGAAACCCCGGCUAACUCCGUGCCAGCAGCCGCGGUAAUACGGAGGGGGUUAGCGUUGUUCGGAAUUACUGGGCGUAAAGCGCACGUAGGCGGAUUAUUAAGUCAGAGGUGAAAUCCCGGGGCUCAACCCCGGAACUGCCUUUGAUACUGGUAAUCUUGAGUUCGAGAGAGGUGAGUGGAAUUCCGAGUGUAGAGGUGAAAUUCGUAGAUAUUCGGAGGAACACCAGUGGCGAAGGCGGCUCACUGGCUCGAUACUGACGCUGAGGUGCGAAAGUGUGGGGA